Molecule: ribosomal RNA, 421 nt
Filed under: uncultured bacterium
Lineage: Bacteria
Description: bacterial SSU rRNA
Rfam family: Bacterial small subunit ribosomal RNA
Source: RNAcentral
AUUUUGGACAAUGGGCGCAAGCCUGAUCCAGCCAUGCCGCGUGCAGGAUGAAGGCCUUCGGGUUGUAAACUGCUUUUGUACGGAACGAAAAGGUGCCUUCUAAUAAAGGGCGCUCAUGACGGUACCGUAAGAAUAAGCACCGGCUAACUACGUGCCAGCAGCCGCGGUAAUACGUAGGGUGCGAGCGUUAAUCGGAAUUACUGGGCGUAAAGCGUGCGCAGGCGGUUUUGUGAGACAGAGGUGAAAUCCCCGGGCUCAACCUGGGAACUGCCAUUGUGACUGCAAGGCUGGAGUGUGGCAGAGGGAGAUGGAAUUCCGCGUGUAGCAGUGAAACUCGUAGAUAUGCGGAGGAACACCGAUGGCGAAGGCAAACCCCUGGGCCUGAACUGACGCUCAUGCACGAAAGCGUGGGGAGCAAACA